CCCUUAGAUGUUCUGGGCCGCACGCGCGCUACACUGAUACAGGCAGCAAGUUAUAUUUCCCCUUGGCUGAGAGGCCUGGGUAAUCUUGUGAAAUUGUAUCGUGAUGGGGAUAGGUCACUGUAAUCGUUGACCUUUAACGAGGAAUUCCUAGUACGCGCAAGUCAUCAGCUUGCAUGGAUUACGUCCCUGCCCUUUGUACACACCGCCCGUCGCACCUACCGAUUGAGUGGUCCGGUGAGGCUUUGGGAUCUGAGCGGAAAGAGCGUUUCGCUGUUUCUGCUCGGAAAACUCAGUCGAACCUUAUCAUUUAGAGGAAGGAGAAGUCGUAACA
RNAcentral lists this ribosomal RNA (331 nucleotides) under uncultured eukaryote. Its description in RNAcentral is "partial 18S ribosomal RNA". It matches the Rfam family "Eukaryotic small subunit ribosomal RNA", at positions 1470 to 1796 of the family's 1831-position model. The record is from RNAcentral.